AACGCGACGCCGAAAACACGCGACUGACGACGACGAUACCCUCCUUUCUCCUCUUUUCAGGCCAAGUCUGUGUCCAAGGUCAUCAAGGCCGACAUCUACCCCGAGUUCGGCACCUACCCCGGCGGCGGCGAGUCCCCCAUCAUCCCCUUCGGCUCCGAGAAGAACGCCGAGCGUGAGGUCAUCCACGGCCGCUGGGCGAUGCUCGGCGUGACCGGUGCCUGGGCCGCCGAGAACGGCACCGGCAUCCCCUGGUUCACCGCCGGUACCCUCUGCACCCCCGACGACUGCACCGCCGUCGCGGACAAGUUCCCCGGCGCCGUCGCUCCCCUCGCCCCCGAGGGCUCCGGCUACCCCUCCUUCUGGGCCGUCCUCGCCAUCGAGGUCGUCCUCGUCGGCCUCGCUGAGGCUUACCGCACCGGCCUCUCCGACCCCGUCUUCGACGAGCUCACCGUCGGUGACGUGUCCCCCGGUGGCCGCUUCGACCCCCUCGGCCUCGCCGAGUCCGGUGACCUCGAGGAGCUCAAGAUCAAGGAGCUCAAGCACUGCCGCCUCUCCAUGUUCGCGUGGCUCGGCUGCAUCAUGCAGGGUCUCGCCACCCAGGAGGGCCCCAUCGCCAACUGGCAGGCGCACGUCGCGGACCCCGUCCACGCCAACGUGCUCACCAACGCCGCCUCCGGCUUCGGCUUCUACUAAAUUGUGCGACCUCGCACGAUGGUAGUCCGUCCUGUUGUACCACUUGACUCUAGCGUUAGGUAGUUAGCCAAGGGAGAGUUGUAACAAAGCUUCUCGCUUCCACAAGUCUUAUGCUCCCGCACUCGAAAAAGCGAAUCCUCCGAACCGUACUGAACCAAUGAACCAACGCGAGCUUCGCGGGAAAUUAGAAAGUUCCCGAUUCUCGCUUUGUGGACCAAUGGGAGCGCGGCAGCCGCCGAAUGGAUCCGCUAAAUCCUCAUCGAUGGUUUGUUUUCUUCGAUGAAAUCCAGUUCAGGAGCUUUUCAUUGGCUUUUCAAGAGACGAGAAUCAAUUGCUGCGCUGUGACUGGCCGAAAAGGGAGAUUCUGUUGGCCUGAUUCGCAUCAAAGUGAGUAAAAAGCUGACUCGCCGCAACUCCCUCGCCAUUCCAGCACACGCAACUUUGCAACACACACACCAAAACUCAUUACUACAAUCAUGGCCUGCAUUGCCUCCUCCUUCACCGGCUCCGUCGCGGCCCUCAAGGCGACCAAGAUCCAGGUGCGCAUCGCAUCAUGCGCCGUGUUCCGUGUCCGUUCUCUUCUUCGGCAAAUGCCCAAAAAAACGCCGAAAUCGCGGGCCAAGGCUCCGCCGAAAACACGCGACUGACGACGACGAUGCCCUCCUUUCUCCUCUUUUCAGGCCAAGUCUGUUUCCAAGGUCAUCAAGGCCGACAUCUACCCCGAGUUCGGCACCUACCCCGGCGGCGGCGAGUCCCCCAUCAUCCCCUUCGGCUCCGAGAAGAACGCCGAGCGUGAGGUCAUCCACGGCCGCUGGGCGAUGCUCGGCGUGACCGGUGCCUGGGCCGCCGAGAACGGCACCGGCAUCCCCUGGUUCACCGCCGGUACCCUCUGCACCCCCGACGACUGCACCGCCGUCGCGGACAAGUUCCCCGGCGCCGUCGCUCCCCUCGCCCCCGAGGGCUCCGGCUACCCCUCCUUCUGGGCCGUCCUCG
This 1686-nucleotide long non-coding RNA is filed under the name Micromonas commoda. RNAcentral describes it as "long non-coding RNA (MCOM_LNC000137)". Lineage: Eukaryota; Viridiplantae; Chlorophyta; Mamiellophyceae; Mamiellales; Mamiellaceae. The record is from RNAcentral.